AAGUCGUAACAAGGUUUCCGUAGGUGAACCUGCGGAAGGAUCAUUACCGAGUUAGGGUCGCCCCGCGCGCCCGACCUCCAACCCUUUGUCUACCUGACCUUAUGUUGCUUCGGCAGGCCCGCCGCCCCUCUCGUGGGGGUGGCCGCCGGGGGUCCUUCGUGACCUCGGGCCCGCGCCUGUCGAUGGCCCAAUAAACUCUUGCUAUUAAACGUGUCGUCUGAGUAAAAUAAACAAAAUUAAAACAAAACUUUCAACAACGGAUCUCUUGGUUCUG
RNAcentral lists this unclassified non-coding RNA (274 nucleotides) under air metagenome. Its description in RNAcentral is "partial contains small subunit ribosomal RNA, internal transcribed spacer 1, and 5.8S ribosomal RNA". The stretch from base 1 to 46 matches the Rfam family "Eukaryotic small subunit ribosomal RNA", at positions 1786 to 1831 of the family's 1831-position model. The record is from RNAcentral.